CCCCGCACUUGCACCAGAUCCCUAUUCUGUCAACCGAGGUUCAUAAUUGAGAAAUCUGUCCAUUUGACUAUUAAACCUUAUUGGUCACCUUUUUGGAUCAAGGAAUGAUCCAUCAGAGUCUGAAUUUUACAUGCAGCUUUAUUUAGAUCUCAUGUCAACUGUCCAAAUUAAAGUCAAAUAUUAGGUCAAUACAACUGUGCCAAGGAGCUUACCACAAAAUCUCGAAGACUUGUCAGCCAAUUUUUGUACCCUUUAAGUUCAUGCGACCAAAUAGAAACCCUUCAAAGUUUCCAUGGAUUUGCAAAGCUUCUAAAUGAUAUGGGAAGAAGGCAAUGUUUUCUACAGAAAA
Molecule: long non-coding RNA, 349 nt
Filed under: Elaeis guineensis (African oil palm)
Lineage: Eukaryota; Viridiplantae; Streptophyta; Magnoliopsida; Arecales; Arecaceae
Description: long non-coding RNA (EGUI_LNC005944)
Source: RNAcentral